Molecule: RNA transcript, 3833 nt
Organism: Gorilla gorilla gorilla (western lowland gorilla)
Lineage: Eukaryota; Metazoa; Chordata; Mammalia; Primates; Hominidae
Exons: 4
Source: RefSeq, a predicted model, not a curated record
GGAGCAGAGAGACAAGGAAAUGCUGUCACCGCUGUUAACACGCACGUGGAGGUUGGUUAAAGGGAAGACCUGGGUUUUAGUCCUGUCUCCAUCAACCUCAAGAAAUGGGACCUCAUGGAAGGGAGGGGAGGCAAUGCCGAGGAUGUGCUCCUGAGCAGGUGUCACAAUUCUUCACCUGUAAGAUUGCUGACAGAAAAGUGAGACCUCCUCCACCCCAAGGUCUCCUAAGAGAAUGCUGCUAGCCAAAAAAAGAUCUGCUGAUAAUUGAGGAAGAGCAUCUUUAAAAAGACACUCAACUACAUUUCAGAAACAUAAAGAUCUAAGUGUUGGCUCUACAAGGGAAGAAAUAAAGAGAAAGAACUUUUUUCCUCCUACAACAGGUCUAGACAACGUCAUACAAGGAGUUGCACGCAUAUCCAAAACAAAAGCAAGGCAAAAACAAGCAAAAAAGCAACAAAUGCAUUCCAAAAUGAUGUCCAUUUAUCAGCCCAGAAAUGUACUGGAUACUGGUUUAGUUCAGCCUGUAGGUGCUGGGAAGAAAUUCCGACAAAUCCAAGUCAGUUGCAAAAAGGGAAAACUCCAGACAUAUCACCCAAUGAACUUGUAAGAAAGCAUAUGAGCUUCCCUGAACAGACUUUACUCCAGGUUUGCAGCCCGCAAGGUUUAAGAUCGGGCCAUGAGGUUAAAUCUUGUAAACUCAGAAGUGUUCACGCUACUGCAUCCCUAAACUCUGUAAUUCUCUACAUACCCUUUAAAGCAGUGUUUCUCUGCAUCUUUCAUUCCAUAGCCAUUGUCCACCUGAUCCAAAAUAUCCUAAAUUUUUCAGUGUUUGGAAGCAGGGUUUCCAAUUUUUGUGUAUACACAAAAGGGGUGUGUGUGUGAAAAAAUAAGUAUUAGAAAAAAAACAUGUUAUACAUAUCUAUCACAGAAAUGAGUGGGCAAGGUUUAUAAGAUGGCUGAAACAAAGCCAAUACUAAGGUCUACUGGUUGGCUGCAACAAGUUUAAAAUGUCUUCAUAAGGGCCCUGGUUGGGCAAUACUAUACUUGCUGACAGUACUUGGGAUCUGCCACAGACCUAUAGCAAAGGACUGUUCAACUUCUCCAAAAAGCUGGUAUUAACCACCAGAAGAAAUAAGAAGUUCAAGGCCAAAAUAUCCAAAUGAACCAACCACUCUACUUGCUGAAAUGCCAUAAAGCUUCUUUACCCCAGACAUUUGCCCAAAUCUUAUAAUUUCUUUUCUCCUCUCUGACAGGCCUCCAGAGGCCCAAACUUUAAUAGAAUCUGAGAGAAAAAAGUGGCCAGUCUAUCUGCUGUCUAGAGUGAUGCCAAACUCUUUCUCCCGGAGCCAGUUCUCCCCGUUGAGCAGUCAGGUGAGGAUCCGAUUAUUAACAAACUCUACUUGGGUCUCCUUGGCAAAGAGUUUCUGGCUUCAGCAGCCUAGCUCAGGGGGCUUCAUAAUUAUGUCAGACUCGCUUUUUUUCUUGUAGUUGCUUUUAACCAAAGAGGUUAAGCCUCUGUACAACCAAGAGGAAGAACUAGAAUUAGAAAACUUACCAAUCGUCCCAGCCAAUGAUAAUCCAUUUCCAACAGGUAUUAACGCCUGUUAGAAGCCACUGGAACACUGACAUCAUCAGCCCAAUUGAUAGGUUGUCUGAUAGAUUCGCCCCCUUCAUCGCACACAAGAAUUUAAAACAAAACAAGACACUGCAGUUAUAUUCAUUAUUGCAGACAAUGGGUUUCUUUGUGUUAGUAAUUGAAAUUACUGCUGUGGUCUGGACUCCAUCAUUAUUUCCUUUGCAGCCUGUGAGCCAGCCAACACUCUAAACUUUCUAGCCCUAAAAAUUGUAUCAUCCAGAAUACCAACUCAAUAUAGCCCUCCACUGUGAAACUGAAUGCCUUCUGGGGUACAGCAUGAAACCGUUUUAGACAGUGCAUGCCAGUGCACCUUGAAACAGUGUCCAUCUGUAAUGAAAUCUGUAAACGGGAAACUUGGGCCAAUUUAUUGUUUAAACCAGAUCUACUGGCUCAUACCUUUCUCUAGGAAACAAUAAGUGAACAAGAAGUAACCUCAGAAGAAGAAAGAACUUUGGGAGAAUGCACUGAGAAAGGCCAGACUGAGUCCCCUUGGAUGAAGUUAAUUAAGAAACAAACAUGACAGGAUAUUGCAAUCAAAACCAAGGAAUGCAGUGAGGACAGGUUUCUCAGUUGCCCAGAGGAGAAAACAUAGUUCCUUUUGAACUAAAAUUAGAAAGCCGCUGGCAAGGAAACAUAAGAAGCAUGGGUAAGAGGCUGAAAACCGUAAGUCAGCAAUGGGGAUGGAGGUGGGUACAGGAAGAGAGCGAGUAUCUAUUUUGUUUUAUUUCUUCUGUAAUUCCUUAAGAUUGUUUGCGCCUGAGCUUUGGGACUGCAGUAGUCUCCCCUACGGGGCGUCAAGUAACAGGCUGGGAGCUCUGGCAAGAAGUUCUCAAACUUCUCACAAUUCUGCUAAGAGCUUGCAGAUAUCUAGCUGGAAGAUCAAGGAUCCAAGUGAAAACACUGAAGGAAGGUUUUUGCCCACUCCCCAGUGAGAGGUCAUCUGCCCAGGGAGUGCUCUCGUGUCCUGACACCAUCGCCCGACUGGGGAUAUAUCAGUAACCGGGCUGUCGUCGAUGCCGAGCAGUGCCCAUCUGGUUGGCAGCGUCCGGGUCUCAAGCGUUCCCUCGCCCCUAUCUGUUCUCCGGGGAGCCCUGAAUCGCUGGUGGGCAUCUACAGUUAAGAGUGCAGGAAGGCCUCUCAGACACGGGGCGAACACAAGGGCUGUUGGCUGCCUCCUCAGAGCCGAUCCAGGCAUAGUUCGCCCAGGCGGGAGAGCGGCGUUGAAGUGGGUCGGCACCCGUCUGAGGGGUGCCAGGCCACCCCGGUGCCCGCUCCUCUCGCCGGCCCCCGGAAGCGCCGCCCUCCCGCCCGGCGGGCUCCGAGGAGGCGGGGAGUCGAACGCCCCCUUCCGGGUGCCUCCGCCUGGCUGGCCGGCCCCGCUCCUCCUCCGGGCGGGAAUCCUCCCUCCCCCGCCCCUCCUGAAGCCGGGCCCCGACGCCAGACCCAGCCCCAGGGGGGAACCCCCGGCCUCGGCUCCCUCUCCCCGCGGCCUCUGCCCGUCUUCCUGACCCUUGGGGGCCGGGAAGACUCCGCCGGCAGCGGCCGGGACCCACCGCUCAUUACGACAUCUUCCUCCCUGGCCUCCGCCGCCUCCGCCGCCACCGAGAGCCUGACACCGCCCGCCAAGCAACCGCCAAUCCCGGAGCCCGCCACCGCCCGAGCGACGGCAGCCUUCACCAAUAAGCGCUUGGAACAUUGGGGACCGACAGCACUAUUAACCAAUCAACCAGAGGCGUCUAGAGCGACGUUGAUUUGACCAAUAGGUCUGUGCAAUGUCACUGAUGGACGGUAGAGCGCACCAACCGAAAGCCAAUUGAAUAAUGAGUGACAUGUGCAUCAGCCAAUUGGAGGGAGGGUUGUCCUCAUCUAAUCCGUCAGUACCAGACAGUGAACAUCUCUCCCCCAGGAUGCUGAGGGAGGGUGCUGGAGGGAAGGAUGUGGAACUACAGCCUCUGCUCUCAAGAAGCUCAGAUCUGGGCAGGGAACAUCACAUACCAGGGCUGUCGGGGGGUGGAGGGCUGGGGGAGGGAUAGCAUUAGGGGAAAUACCUAAUGUAAAUGACAAGUUGAUGGGUGCAGCAAACCAACAUGGCACAUGUAUACCUAUGUAACAAACCUGCUGUUGUGCACAUGUACCCUAGAACUUAAAGUAUAAUUAAAAAAAAAAAAAAGCUUCAGAUCCCUCCUGGAGCCUCCUA